This 253-nucleotide ribosomal RNA is filed under the name uncultured bacterium. RNAcentral describes it as "partial 16S ribosomal RNA". It matches the Rfam family "Bacterial small subunit ribosomal RNA", at positions 524 to 776 of the family's 1533-position model. The record is from RNAcentral.
UACGUAGGUGACCAGCGUUGUCCGGAUUUACUGGGCGUAAAGAGCGCGCAGGCGGUCGUUCAAGUCGAGUGUGAAAGCCCCCGGCUCAACUGGGGAGGGUCACUCGAUACUGAUCGACUUGAAGGCAGGAGAGGGAAGCGGAAUUCCCGGUGUAGUGGUGAAAUGCGUAGAUAUCGGGAGGAACACCAGUGGCGAAGGCGGCGACCUGGGCCAAUACUGACGCUGAGGUGCGAAAGCGUGGGGAGCAAACAGG